Drosophila montana is the source of this 594-nucleotide long non-coding RNA. RefSeq lists it as uncharacterized. The record is from RefSeq and is a predicted model, not a curated record. The transcript is spliced from 2 exons. NCBI's taxonomy places the organism in Eukaryota, Metazoa, Arthropoda, Insecta, Diptera, Drosophilidae.
UUUAUAUUUAUUCAGUUUGGAAUAUUUUCUUUAACAUGUAGUACAUUUAGGAGCAGGAUUUAAAAUACUUUCUAAAAAGCAUGCUGAAAUGUGAAGUAAAGUUUGUAUCAAGAUCAACAGGAAUAAAAAAUCUUAGAUAGCCAAGAACACUAGCUGUGCCCCAAGGCCCCGAGUAGCACCGGGCUGGCGAAGAGGUUCCUGCGCAAACGCCGCUGAGUUAUGGCGGCAUUUAGACGUGCGCCCAGACUGGCUUUAACUACUGCUGAAAGAAGAUUGCCCGCCGCAUUAGAUGGUUAGAGAUUGCGAGGACGGCAUUUCUUGAAAUUAUGACGUGCUGAGAAGGGCAUCUUGGUGCCGCGAUGAUUACUUGAUAAUUGUGAUACUGAAGCGGCAUCAGCAGCAAUUUUCAGACCGUUUAAUUGAAGAGCGAUAAAAGUUAACGAUGGCUCGCAGCGGAUUUCCAGCCAUGUGAUACAUUUCCGAUAAAAUAUGGAAUUGAAAACAUAUUUGAGAAUUUUAUUGAUUAUAUUUAUGUAUUCUGCAUUGGCAGUAAACCAAAAAUAUACUCUACCAAACUGUUUGCCAUUGAAAGAA